AGCUCCAAUAGCGUAUAUUAAAGUUGUUGCAGUUAAAAAGCUCGUAGUUGGAUUUCUGGUGAGAUGAAUUAUGUCUGGAUCGAAAGAUUCUGUUCAUGGUUUGUUUUGCCCUUCUUGUCAGGAACCCGUUGGGAUUUACUUCUCGACGGUGGAAUGGCAUCUUUUACUGUGAAAAAAUUAGAGUGUUCAAAGCAGGCAUCGCCGUUGAAUACAUUAGCAUGGAAUAAUAAGAUAAGACUUUGGUGGUCUAUUUUGUUGGUUUGCACGCCAAAGUAAUGAUUAAUAGGGAUAGUUGGGGGUAUUCGUAUUCUAUUGCUAGAGGUGAAAUUCUUAAAUUUAUGGAAGACGAACUACUGCGAAAGCAUUUACCAAGGAUGUUUUCAUUAAUCAAGAACGAAAG
This 400-nucleotide ribosomal RNA is filed under the name phytoplankton environmental sample. Its description in RNAcentral is "partial small subunit ribosomal RNA". It matches the Rfam family "Eukaryotic small subunit ribosomal RNA", at positions 587 to 989 of the family's 1831-position model. The record is from RNAcentral.